Molecule: ribosomal RNA, 500 nt
Filed under: uncultured Desulfobulbus sp.
Lineage: Bacteria; Pseudomonadati; Thermodesulfobacteriota; Desulfobulbia; Desulfobulbales; Desulfobulbaceae
Description: bacterial SSU rRNA
Rfam family: Bacterial small subunit ribosomal RNA
Source: RNAcentral
CCCGCUACAAGAACUACGAAAGGAAUUGACGGGGCCCGCACAAGCGGUGGAGUAUGUGGUUUAAUUCGAUGCAACGCGAAGAACCUUACCUGGUCUUGACAUCCCGGAGACCCUUAGGAAACUAGGGGGUGCUUCCAUCUGGAAGAAUCUGGAGACAGGUGCUGCAUGGCUGUCGUCAGCUCGUGUCGUGAGAUGUUGGGUUAAGUCCCGCAACGAGCGCAACCCUUGCCUUUAGUUGCCAGCAGUUCGGCUGGGCACUCUAAAGGGACUGCCGGUGUUAACCGGGGAAGGUGGGGAUGACGUCAAGUCCUCAUGGCCUUUAUGACCAGGGCUACACACGUACUACAAUGGCCGAUACAAAGGGCAGCGACACUGCGAGGUGAAGCCAAUCCCGUAAAAUCGGUCUCAGUCCGGAUUGGAGUCUGCAACUCGACUCCAUGAAGUUGGAAUCGCUAGUAAUCGUGGAUCAGCAUGCCACGGUGAAUACGUUCCCGGGCCUU